This 85-nucleotide transfer RNA is filed under the name Amborella trichopoda. RNAcentral's name for it is "tRNA AMTR_s00048t00277600". It matches the Rfam family "tRNA". Rfam says of the family: Transfer RNA (tRNA) molecules are approximately 80 nucleotides in length. Their secondary structure includes four short double-helical elements and three loops (D, anti-codon, and T loops). Further hydrogen bonds mediate the characteristic L-shaped molecular structure. tRNAs have two regions of fundamental functional importance: the anti-codon, which is responsible for specific mRNA codon recognition, and the 3' end, to which the tRNAs corresponding amino acid is attached (by aminoacyl-tRNA synthetases). tRNAs cope with the degeneracy of the genetic code in two manners: having more than one tRNA (with a specific anti-codon) for a particular amino acid; and 'wobble' base-pairing, i.e. permitting non-standard base-pairing at the 3rd anti-codon position. The record is from RNAcentral. Lineage: Eukaryota; Viridiplantae; Streptophyta; Magnoliopsida; Amborellales; Amborellaceae.
GACGCUUUGGCCGAGUGGUUAAGGCGUGUGCCUGCUAAGUACAUGGGCUCUGCCCGCGAGAGUUCGAAUCUCUCAGGCGUCGCCA